Molecule: ribosomal RNA, 443 nt
Filed under: uncultured bacterium
Lineage: Bacteria
Description: partial 16S ribosomal RNA
Rfam family: Bacterial small subunit ribosomal RNA
Source: RNAcentral
CCUACGGGUGGCAGCAGUGGGGAAUAUUGGGCAAUGGGCGCAAGCCUGACCCAGCAACGCCGCGUGAAGGAAGAAGGCUCUCGGGUUGUAAACUUCUUUUAUAGAGGACGAAAAAAAUCACGGUACUCAAUGAAUAAGCCACGGCUAACUACGGGCCAGCCGCCGCGGUAAUACGUAGGUGGCAAGCGUUAUCCGGAUUUACUGGGUGUAAAGGGCGGGCAGGCGGGACAGUAAGUCAGAUGUGAAACCCCUGGGCUCAACUCCUGGCCGGCAUAUGAGACUGUAGGACUUGAGUGAUGGAGAGGCAGGUGGAAUUCCGCGUGUAGCAGUGAAAUGCGUAGAUAUACGGAAGAACACCGAUGGCGAAGGCAGCCUGCUGGAAAAUAACUGACGCUGAGGCGCGAAAGCGUGGGGAGCAAACAGGAUUAGAUACCCGGGUAGUC